Molecule: transfer RNA, 72 nt
Filed under: Anilios australis (Southern blind snake)
Lineage: Eukaryota; Metazoa; Chordata; Lepidosauria; Squamata; Typhlopidae
Description: transfer RNA-Asn
Source: RNAcentral
UAGGCAGGAGUCUAUAGGUCAAGAAGACUAGCUGUUAAUUAGUAAAUUGUGGGAUCAAGGCCCACCUGUCUA